UACCAGCACCCCGAGUGGUCGGGACGAUUAUUGGGCCUAAAGCAUCCGUAGCCGGUCCUACAAGUCUUCCGUUAAAUCCACCUGCUUAACAGAUGGGCUGCGGAAGAUACUAUAGAGCUAGGAGGCGGGAGAGGCAAGCGGUACUCGAUGGGUAGGGGUAAAAUCCGUUGAUCCAUUGAAGACCACCAGUGGCGAAGGCGGCUUGCCAGAAUGCGCUCGACGGUGAGGGAUGAAAGCUGGGGGAGCAAACCGG
Molecule: ribosomal RNA, 253 nt
Filed under: uncultured bacterium
Lineage: Bacteria
Description: partial 16S ribosomal RNA
Rfam family: Archaeal small subunit ribosomal RNA
Source: RNAcentral